AUUAGAAUCAAAGAUGCAGCUGCUUUCACAUAGCAACAGCCGUCAAAAAAGAGCCGAAAGUGACAGUUUUCCUGUUCAACCACUGUUCCGUUCUGUAACUGAUUUAUGACUUUUUGGGAAAACACAACU
This is a small nucleolar RNA of Ursus americanus (American black bear), 129 nucleotides long. The record is from Ensembl. NCBI's taxonomy places the organism in Eukaryota, Metazoa, Chordata, Mammalia, Carnivora, Ursidae.